GACGGACUGCCUACUCUCAACUGCUACUACAAUGGCCUCUGCUUUUCAGAGCUAGCUGUUUUUGUGCUCUCAACUCCCCUGUUUCCCUUCCUAUCAUCAACGGUAUACAAUCCCGCUCAGUCCCCGUACAAUCACGACCUUAAUCCCUCCACCCCAGAACGUCAGUCCUCUGAAAUUCCCCCCUUGGUCAUAUUUUUACUCUAGGCAUCGACUUGCAACAGUUUAAGUUGAAAGUUAAUGGCAUUAAUUUCAUUGAUAUUGGUAAGUAAAAAACAGACCAAAACAACAGCAUAUGUCCUCGCAUAUGCUGACACACGCAGAAAUAUGCGUAUCGCCUAGCAAUGUCACAACCGGUUAAAAAGAAAACACCUUGAUAUAAAGCAACAGUAGGAUCGAUUAAAGGAAUGUUUCUGUUAAGUUAAAUUAUUUAUUGGAGAGGAUGAGACAUCUGCCGCUUUGUUUACAUUAAAAUGAACAGAUCAGGAAGGCUUAAAGUUUAUUGAACAACUGAAAAGUUGUUGGCUGAUACUUAACCAAACAUGAUUAAUAACGUUUAAUUAUAAUUCAGUGUUUAUGAUUUAAGAAGCUUUAUGCUCGAUCAAAUCCGCAGGAUAUACAGUUCAGUAAGAGGCGUUAGAUGAAGCAUGCAAGAUGCAAUAGGAGUACUGUCAAGAGAUCUAACUAAAAAACCCCUUGGAAUUGAAUCAAGUGGGAGACUUCAGUUAAGUGGCUAAAACAGAAAAAAAAAAAAAACAAGAGAGAGAGAGAGUAAGUGAUAUAAAAGAGGUGACCAACUAAGUGAGCAGUGAGAAGAGAGUCCACAGUAGCAGAAAGUCGGAUUGCUGUGACCACAAGUCCGUAGUAUGUAUUAUGUAGAUACGAACACAGUAAACUGGAUGACCAUCAACGCCGACUGAUCCAUGUGGAAUUCAAGCAGCCUAAGUUUACUGUUUCUUUGCCUGGACUGGAACUACAAAUACAGUAAAUGCUGCAACAUCAAUAAAUUAAGAAAGAAGUUGUCAAUCAAGUGAUAUAAAAUCUCAAAAUGACAUACAGAGAAUUACUAAAUGUCUUCGACAAAAACUCUUCCUCUAAAUGUCAUCAAUGCAGUAGUAAUAUUUUGUUCUCACUCAUACUAUUUACUGGAAUCUCUCAAAUUGGUUUGAGUAUUGGCCUUUUAUUUCUGUGUAGAAAUCAAAUAAGUGAGGUAUCUUGUGCUUUCUCACUAAAAGCUCACCCUUGUACAGGUUUAGCCGCCCCUGUCUAUAUUGGAUGUCUUAUUCUCUGCAUAGCAAUCUUUGGAUUUGCCUGUCUUGGUCGGCGAGCAUCAGCAGCACUACUUUUAUUCAUUACUGUUGGUGACAUUUGCCUGGGUUUUAUGCAAUUAGCAAGUGAGAAAAUUCUGUUCACUGACUAUUUUAAUACAUUUAAUUCAAGAGAAAUCUGUCAAUCUGCCCAACAAAAUUCAUCUCAACUUUUACAAUGCUGGAACCAUAUUACACACCUAUACCCAGCCUGUAGUAUAUAUGAACAUGAGAUAACCAAUGAUUGUGUUCACAGCUAUAAUAUUUACUUCAAUCGAUCAAAUCAAUCUGAAAGUAACAGAACUACUGUGCCAUGCAUUAGUGAUAUUAAUAGAUUGGUCAGUUCAACUUAUACGGACUUCCGAUUUAUGUGUGGCCCUAUUGUAUUACUCAAUGCUUUUGUCUGUGUCAUUCUAAUACUAUUUCUAGAGUUUUUUCAUCAACAGAAACAGAAUAGUAAAAAACAGCAACAUGACUUAGCAGCACUAGAAGGAAUUUAUGAAAUUUCUGAACAAAAGUAAUAAAAAUAUUUAUUCAAUGUCAAUAAUUUAUCCUCAUAAUCGUACUUCGGUUCACAUUCUAUUUUACUAAAAAAAGUCAACUUUUGGUGAUCAUUCUAAAUUGAAUUAAAAGUAUUUUCUAAUACUAAUAACAUUGAAUUUUCGGCCCUGUUUUUAGAAUGACAUUAACUAAAGAUAUAAAGUGUCAAACAGACCAUAUGUAUUAUAUAUUUAUAUAUAUAUUUAUUUAAAUACUGAGUGUAUUUUAUUUAAUCUAAAUAAGAACUAAAUGAAAGGACCAUUUUAUGAUAUAAUGGCAAGUCGUAGGAAGAAUAUUCAGGAGUUAGAGAAGGCAUUUCAUUAUCCCUUUUUAUAGCAACACACAAGGUUGCCUUGCUGCCAUAAUUUUAUAAGAAAUCUCAACUUCAAAAUGAUAAAAUUAGUUAUUUUACUAAAUCCUUACAAAUUCUAGAUUAUUUCAAAAUUAAUUGAAGCAUGUUGGUAGUGUUUUGUUAGGAACAUGAUUAUAAAAGGAUUAAAUUUAAUGAUUAGACCAACCAAAGCCAGAAUGGAAAAUGGAUAUAUCUUGCAAAAAAAAAAAAAAAAUCAACAUAAUAGUUGUGUGAGUUAUGUGUGUAUAAAUAUGCCAUGAUAAAAAUAUAUAACAACUACUUACUUUUAACAAUUAUCUUUGAAAUUUUUCAUAUUAUAUAUAUUUUUAAAUGUGCUGGUAAAACUGUGCAAAAACUCCCACAAUGACCCCAUUUUGAGUGCUCCUUAUACAACAAGGAUUGUUGAAAUCCACAUUUAAACCUUUCACAGUUGCUUCUUUUGCAAAUGUAUUCCAGGUGCUAAUCUUGUGUAGUACAGUUUAACAUCACAUUUCACCUAAACAUUGAAGCCUACAGUCAUUGUAAGGAUGUUGGUCUACUCUCACCUUUUGCUACCUGCUAGUCUAUUGGAAAUAGGAUUGCUAUUUGAAUUGAGAGAAAGUUCCUACUAUUUUUUUUUACAUCUAAUAUCUAAUUUCAAUGAAGAUUUUUUUAAGAUACAUUGUCAGCUAUUUGUAGAUAUUUUUACUAAUGUAAUAUGAUAUGAGAUUGACAAUAGUCACAUGGUCAAGUAAAAUCAUAUAUUGGUUAAUUGUGUUAAAUUUCUUAUCAAAGUGAUCAAUAUUGGGUGUAGCUGUUGUACUCCUUUAUCCUAAGUUAAGUAACUUGUAAUAUUGUGUAAUGGAUUGGUUAUAUAUGUAUGAUAUGCACCUCUAGAAUAACAUUACUUGAUAGGGUGCAAAGCUCAGAGAUCAGGGAAUCUCUCUAGGUUGAGCUAAUCCACAUUGGGAGGUCACAGCUCUGAUACUAUGGACAUGUGAUAAGAAUGUCUUUAAAAAGAAUCACAAGGUGAAUUCUUCAAGCUGAACUAACCAGCAGGAAACCUAGGGGUAGAUUUAGAAUGAGAUGGUUGAAUAAUAUCCUAAGACUCAGUUGGUUGCACUUGGGAAUCCAAAGGGAAAGUCUAAUGAUGGCUGCUUCUUAUGGAGGAGAUGCCUGAAGAUUCUACUCCAACAAACCUCCCAGAAAUAGUGGGCAGAAAAGAUGGAUGGAUGGAUGGAGAUGCACCUAAGACUGGUGCAGUGUACAUUUUGUUUAACUUCCUUAUUUAGUCACAUUCUUGUAUACCACUUAUGAAAUGAUCAGAGAAAAUGUGAUGCCAAACUACAUUAAGAAUGUCCAACAGCCAGUAUGCAUAUGGAAAAAAGGAACAAUAGAAAGAACUUAGUAUCAAUUCUUAAAAUUAAGUCUUGAUAAGCAUUGAAGAACACUCAUAAUAUAGAUCUCUCAAUGCUAAAUUAAAAGACACUUACAUCUAUAAAUUUGAAAAGUUU
Octopus sinensis (East Asian common octopus) is the source of this 3689-nucleotide long non-coding RNA. RefSeq lists it as uncharacterized. The transcript has 3 exons. The record is from RefSeq and is a predicted model, not a curated record. NCBI's taxonomy places the organism in Eukaryota, Metazoa, Mollusca, Cephalopoda, Octopoda, Octopodidae.